GAAGUUUAGUAUCAACUCUGGCUCUCCUUCCCUGCUAGGGCUAAAUGUUAAUAUUAUCCAAGGAUGUUUCCAAGUGAAUCUCUGCCAGUUCUCUCUUUCCAAGUCACAUCUCAGAGUCUCUUCACUUGAAUCAAGCUACUCCCAGCUUCUGCACACAUCUGGUCCAACACUACUUUGGGAUAUGUUUUGCUAAGGUUGCUGUUCUGCCUGGAAGGCCCUCAUUCCUCAGCUGCAUGACCCGAGGUUUCCUUCCUCUAAGACCUUGCUAGCGGCUCCUAGAUGCCUUCCAAACCAAAUUCUCUUCUAUGAGAUCAGCUCUCAGCUUUGUAUUCCCUGGCACUUAUGGAGUAUGUUAUGGAGGUAAGAAAAGAAAAUAAGUGCAACAUGCCAGAAAUCCAGUAAAGCAGUUCAAGUAUCAGAAGAGCAUGAAUCAAAACCAAGUGCAAGAAGAGGCACCUUGACAUUGAACUGAAGGCCACCAGGUACUCACUGGGUCAAUGACUCUUCUCAUUUUUAUUCUCCUGCCAGUGCUUCCAAUCGCUGAACUGAACUGGAAACAAAUCAACAAGGGAAACCAAGAGAUGCAUUCCUUGAAGUUCAGCCUCCUGGCCUCAAGUAAGGCAGAGGAAGAGAAUACAUAGAUCUGUGGAGAAGAGUGGUGAUGGUGGGAGCUGCCAAUAAAGAACUAUCAAAAAAGGGAAGAUUGCAGAUCACACUGCGCUUUGGGAGUCAAGUGGCAGACAGCUGUGGCUUCAGCUUCCAGCGGUCACACAACUCCAGAGGGACUGGAAGGUCAAGGGAAGCAUGUAGAACCGCAGGCUGUUCACGUGGCUUGGAGGAGGAGAUGACCCACCCUUAAUAAAACACCGUCUGCCGGACAUGCCAUUGGGACUGGCAUGCUAAUUGAAAACAGCAGGAGUGGCUCUGCAGCUCUUUGACUUUAGCACUCAGCUUAGCAUAACUUUUCCUUCCACAGGAAAGCAGUCCUCGGCCAGUAAAGCUGUGUUUCUUAAAAAAAGAAAAAAAUCCAAACAAACCACUGCUCUAGUAGAAGAUAAAGAAACACUUAUCUUUAUUUUCUUUUUUAGGAAGUUCCAUCUUAUUUAAUUAAUUAAUUUAUUUUAUUUUAUUUUUUCAAGUGGACCAAAGCUUGACACUGCUGUCCACAAAUAUUUUAUCAAAUUAGGAUGGAAAAUACCUAUUAAUCAAAUUCAUUUUUUUCAAUAUUAUGAGUGCCCUGUUAUUUUUACUACAAUUUAUUUUUCUUUUUUCUACAUCAAAGUAAAAUGGGCAAAUAGUUCAAUAGGUUUGUAUUAUUUUUAUGGAAUAGCAGUAAAGUGCCUACCUCUCCCAACCCCAGUUUUCUUUCCUGGAAGCAACUACUUUAUUCUCUUUUAGCUAUUUCCUUUAUUACUUACCUCUGUUCCUUUAAAUAAUAUGCUUAGUGUUAGUUUUGGUUUUUUAAUUUUAAGCAAUACAUAUUGACUUUCUACUAUGAAAAAUUAACAUUUAACUUUCGUCACUCCACCUCUUUCUCAUUCAUUUUUUGUUUCCCUAGCCUCUCAAUAUAAUUAUAUUGUAAUUUUGGUUAAAUAGGUGAUAAGUAUUCACAUUAUUAAAAAUAGCAUAUAUAUGUGUAAUGCUAUUUACCGAUGAGCUAUAUAGGAUAAAAUGAUUAUUCUUCACCAUUUAUAUAGCGUUUUAUUUUCCUAGAAUUAUAAAUUUUUCUCGUUUUUUUCUGUUCAUUUAGUUUUCUAUAUAUUUAUCAUGAAUUCAUUUUUAAACUCUCACAAGUUAUCUGUAUCUCCUUUUUAAAUGUUUAAACAUCAAGUGUUUUAUCAGUUCUUUCUUGUGGCUAGAUUUCUUCUGAAGCCUUUCUUGCACGCUAACUUCUUUGUCUUUAAAUUGAUAUAUCAUACAUGUACAUAGUCCUCUAGAGUGUUUUUGAUCUGCUGUAAUCUGGACUAGUUUCUCUCAAAGCCAUCAUCAUGGUCUUUCCCUUGGCCAUUAUACUGAGAAUUCCAUUUGCUUCCCUCUUGAGUGGAUCUACUGUUUUCUAGAUUCUCUCUCCUUUGUACGGAUUUAUUCUCUUAUUUUGCAGUAUUUGAACAACACUGUAAAGAUUUCUCCUUGCUCAUUUAUUAAGCAAGGAGUUCCCUCACUUUCUUCUGUAGUUCUCUGAACCCUUUAAUAUUGGGGAAAGGAUGAUGUUGUUUAAAUACUAUACAGUAUUAUUAGUCACAUUGUACUAUGGUCUAUUGAAGAAAUUAAAUAUCACAUAAUUCCAUUUUUAAUUUUUUAGAAUAAGACAACAGAUGUCGGAGUAAUAUCUGUAUUUUAUUGAACUUUAUGAUAAUAUGGCAAUCAAGCUAUUUUUAAAAAGGCUCUGCUCUGCCACUACAGAUAGCUAAAAGUUCAGGAUAAUAUGUAAUAAAAUUUAAAAAAUAUAUAAACUGGUUUCAAGUGAAAGGAAAAUUCUAAGUUGGCAAAUACAAAAAAAGAGAACUCAAACCAGAUCAGGCUGUGGGGGCAGCUGAGACCAUGUAAACCACAGGAGCUAUGGAUACAGAUAUCGAAUUUAAGGGCUGGGAGAUAGGCUAUUAAUGCCGGGCUGGGAGAUAGGCUAUUAAUGCCCAGCUGGGAGGAGGAAAAAGUCUUAAAACUGCAAGCUUUGAAGUCUGAGUGGAAAGAAGUCUUCAAAUUCUUGCUUAAAAUGCUACAGUCCCUUACCAUAACAAUCAGAAUUAAGUCCACAUUAGCAUGGCUUACAAAGCCCUUAAUCUGAGAAUUUCCUGUGAAAUUUCCAGCCUCAGCUAUUUCCAUGUGGUGCCUGAAACAUAUAUACAGUCUUAAUCAACGAUACACAUGGUCACAAAUAGGCUAUACACAUGGUCACAAAUAGGCUAUACACUCUUUCUUUUCCAUUUGAAAGCUUUUUAUUAUUAUUAUUAUUAUUAUUAUUAUUAUUAUACUUUAAGUUCUGGGAUACAGGUGCAGAACGUGCAGGUUUGUUACGUAGGUAUACACGUGCCUUCAUAGUUUGCUGCACCCAUCAACCCAUCAUCUACAUUAGGCAUUUCUCCCUAAUGCUAUCCCUCCCCUAGCCCCCCACCCCCCGACAGGCCCUGGUGUGUUGUGUGAUUUUCUCCUCCCUGUGUCCAUUUGUUCUCAUUGUUCAACUCCCACUUAUGAGGGAGAGCAUGCGGUGUUAGGUUUUCCAUUCCUGUGUUAGUUUGCUGAGAAUGAUGGUUUUCAGCUUCAUCCAUGUCCCUGCAAAGGACAUGAACUCACCCUUUUUUGUGGCUGCAUAGUAUUCCAUGGUGUAUAUGUGCCAUAUUUUCUUUAUCUAAUCUAUCAUUGAUAGGCAUUUGGUUGGUUCCAAGUCUUUGCUAUAGUGAACAGUGCCACAAUAAACUUAUAUGUGCAUGAGUCUUUAUAGUAGAAUGAUUUAUAAUCCUUUGGGCAUAUACCCAGUAAUGGGAUUGCUGGGUCAAAUGGUAUUUCUAGUUCAAGAUCCUUGAGGAAUUGCCACACUGUCUUCCACAAUGGUCGAACUAAUUUACACUCCCACCAACAGUGUAAAAGCAUUCCUAUUUCGGCACAUCCUCUCCAGCAUCUGUUGUUUCCUGACUUUUGAAUGAUUGCCAUUCUAACUGGCAUGAGAUUGUAUCUCAUUGUGGUUUUGAUUUGCAUUUCUCUAAUAACCAGUGAUGAUGAGCUUGUUUUCAUGUUUGUUGGCCACAUAAAUGUCUUCUUUUGAGAAGUGUCUGUUCAUAUCCUUUGCCCACUUUUUGAUAGAGUGGUUUGUUUUUUUCUUGUAAAUUUGUUUAAGUUCCGUGUAGAUUCUGGAUAUUAGACCUUUGUCAGAUGCAUAGAUUCCAAAAUUUUUCUCUCAUUCUGUAGGUUGCCUGUUCACUGUAAUGAUAGUUUCUUUUGCUGUGCAGAAGCUCUUUAGUUUAAUUAGAUCCCAUUUGUCAACUUCAGCCUUUAUUGCCAUUGCGUUUUGUGUUUUAGUCAUGAAGUCUUUGCCCAUGCCCAUGUCCUGAAUGGUAUUACCUAGGUUUUCUUCUAGGGUUUUUAUGGUUUUAGGUCUUAUGUUUAAGUCUUUAAUCCAUCUUGAGUUAUUUUUUCUAUAAGGUGUAAAGAAAGGGUCCAUUUUCGGUUUUCUGCAUAUCGAUAGCCAGUUUUCCCACCACCAUUUAUGAAAUAGGGAAUCAUUUCCCCAUUGCUUGUUUUUGUCAGGUUUGUCAAAGAUCAGAUGGUUGUAGAUGUGUGGCAUUAUUUCUGAGGCCUCUAUUCUGUUCCACUGGUCUAUAUAUCUGUUUUGGUACCAGUACCAUGCUGUUUUGGUUACUGUUGCCUUGUAGUAUAUAUACUAUAUCAGUAGUGAUAUACUAUAUACAGUAGUGAUGCCUCCAGCUUUGUUCUUUUUGCUUCAGAUUGUCUUGGCUAUACAGGCUCUUUUUUGGUUCCAUAUGAAAUUUAAAGUAGUUUUUCCUAAUUCUGUGAAGAAAGUCAAUGGUAGCUUGAUGGGAAUAACAUUGAAUCUAUAAAUUACUUUGGGCAGUAUGGCCAUUUUCAUGAUAUUGAUUCUGCCCAUCCAUGAGCAUGGAAUGUUUUUCUAUUUGUGCCCUCUCUUAUUUCCUUGAGAAGUGGUUUGUAGUUCUCCUUGAAGAGGUCCUUCACAGACCUUGUAAGUUGUAUUUCUCGGUAUUUUAUUCUCUUUGUAGCAAUUGUGAUGGGAGUUCACUUAUGAUUUGGCGCUCUGUUUGUCUAUUAUUGGUGUGUAGAAAUGCUUGUGAUUUUUUUUUUUUCUUUUUUUGAGACGGAGUCUCGCUCUGUCGCCCAGGCUGGAGUGCAGUGGCGCGAUCUCAGCUCACUGCAAGCUCCGCCUUCCGGGUUCAGGCCAUUCUCCUGCCUCAGCCUUCCUAGUAGCUGGGACUACAGGUGCCCGCCACCACGCCCAGCUAAUUUUUUUUUGCAUUUUUAGUAGAGACAGAGUUUCACCGUGGUUGCCAGGAUGGUCUCUAUCUCCUGACCUCAUGAUCCGCCCACCUCGACCUCCCAAAGUGCUGGGAUUACAGACGUGAGCCACCGCGCUCGGCCAGAAUGCUUGUGAUUUUUGCACCUUCAUUUUGUAUGCUGAGACUGUGCUGAAGUUGCUUAUCAGCUUAAGGAGAUUUUGGGCUGAGAUGAUGGGGGUUUCUAAAUAUACAAUUAUGUCAUCUGCAAACAGACAACUUGACUUCCUCUCUUCCUAUUUGAAUCCUCUUUAUUUCUUUCUCUUGCCUGAUUGCCCUGGCCAGAACUUCCAAUACUAUGUUGAAUAGGAGUGGAGAGAGAGGGCAUCCUUGUCUUGUGCCAGUUUUCAAAGGGAAUGCUUCCAGCUUUUGCCCAUUCAGUAUGAUAUUGGCUGUGGGUUUGUCAUAAAUAGCUCUUAUUAUUUUGAGAUAUGUUCCAUCAAUACCUAGUUUAUUGAGAGUUUUUAGCAUGAAGGGCUGUUGAAUUUUGUUGAAGGCCUUUUCUGCAUCUAUUGAUAUAAUCAUGUGGUGUUUGUCAUUGGUUCUGUUUAUGUGAUGGGUUAUGUUAAUUGAUUUGCGUAUAUUAAACCAGCCUUGCGUCCCAGAGAUGGAGCCAACUUGAUUGUGGCGGAUAAGCUUUUUGAUGUCCUGCUGGAUUCAGUUUGCCAGUAUUUUAUUGAGGAUUUUUGCAUCAAUGUUCAUCAGGCAUAUGGCCUGAAAUUUUCUUCUUUGUGUGUGUCUCUGCCAAGGUUUUGGUAUCAGGAUGAUGCUGGCCUCAUAAAAUGAGUUAGGUGGUGUUCCUCUUUUUCUAUUGAUUGGAAUAGUUUCAGAAGGAAUGGUACCAGCUCCUCUUUGUACCUUUAAUAUAAUUCAGCUGUGAAUCUGUCUGAUCCUGAGCUUUUUUUGGUUGAAUACCACAUUUUCUUAAUUCAUCCAUUGCUGGACACUUAGGUUGCUUUCACCUCUUAGCUAUAAUAAUAAUGCUGCAAUGAACAUGGCAGUGCAAAUACCUUUUUGAGAUCUUGUUUCCAGUUCUUUCAGAUAAAUACGAAGAAGUUGGAUUGCUAGAUCCCAUAGUAAUUCUAUUUUUUAAUUUUUUGAGGAAACUUCACACUGUUUCCCACAGCAACUGCACCAUUUUACGUUCCCACUGUCAAUGACAAGGGUUCCAAUUUUCUCACCAAUACUUGUUACUUGUUAUUUUUCAGGUUUGGGUUUUUGGUGUUUUUUUAUUAUUAUUAUUUAUUUGUUUGUUUCUAACAUAAUUGCUAUGCUAACAAAUGUGAGGUGAUGUCUCAUUGUUAUUUUGAUUUGUACUUCCCUGAUGAUUAAGAGAAUAUCUUUUGUUCAGCAUCUUUACAUAUACUUGUUGGCCAUUUGUAUGUCUUCCUUGGAGAAAUGUCUAUUCAAGUCUUUUGCUCAUUAAAAAAAAAUGGUUUGUUGUUGUUGAUAUUAUUGACUAGUAGGAGUUCUUAAUAGUUUUAGAUAUUAACCCCUUUACAGAUAUCUGGUUAUUCCAAGAUUUUCUCCCAUUUCAUUAGUUGCCAUUCCAAUCUAUUGAUUGUUUCCUUUGCUGUGCAGAAACUUUUUACUUUGAUGUUGUCUCAUUUGUCUAUUUUUGCUUCUGUGGUUUGUGCUUUUGGUGUCAUAUAUAGGAAAUCAUUGCCAAGACCAAUAUUAUAAAGCUUUUCUCUUAUGUUCUUUUCUAGAAAAUUUUAUAGUUUUCAGGUAUUAUGUCUAAGUCUUUCAUCCAUUUUAUGUUGAUUUUUGUGUAUGGUGUAAAACAAGGGUCCAAUUUCAUUCUUUUGAAUGUGGCCAUCUACUU
Long non-coding RNA from Pan troglodytes (chimpanzee), 6846 nucleotides. RefSeq lists it as uncharacterized. The record is from RefSeq and is a predicted model, not a curated record. Lineage: Eukaryota; Metazoa; Chordata; Mammalia; Primates; Hominidae. The transcript has 4 exons.